RNAcentral lists this transfer RNA (73 nucleotides) under Candidatus Aminicenantes bacterium ADurb.Bin147. Its description in RNAcentral is "tRNA-Lys". It matches the Rfam family "tRNA". Rfam says of the family: Transfer RNA (tRNA) molecules are approximately 80 nucleotides in length. Their secondary structure includes four short double-helical elements and three loops (D, anti-codon, and T loops). Lineage: Bacteria; Candidatus Aminicenantota. The record is from RNAcentral. RNAcentral also lists the same sequence under 3 other names.
GGGCCGAUAGCUCAGCUGGUAGAGCACCGCCCUUUUAAGGCGGGUGUCGCGGGUUCGAAUCCCGCUCGGCUCA